GCCUCGAUAGCUCAGUCGGGAUAGCGUUAGACUGAAGAUCUAAAGGUCCCUGGUUCAAUCCCGGGUCGAGGCA
This is a non-coding RNA of Ciona savignyi (Pacific transparent sea squirt), 73 nucleotides long. Lineage: Eukaryota; Metazoa; Chordata; Ascidiacea; Phlebobranchia; Cionidae. The record is from Rfam.